AUUACCCUACCAUGCCGGGAUAUAAAUGCAUGGGGCAUCACAACCGUUGAGCGGCAACGGAUAUACAAAUUAAAGCGGUAUCAUGGUGCAUGACACGGAGGUA
Molecule: non-coding RNA, 103 nt
Filed under: unclassified sequences
Description: GP20-a RNA
Rfam family: GP20-a RNA
About the family: gut metagenomes. Environment (Cow rumen (57))
Source: RNAcentral